Molecule: long non-coding RNA, 261 nt
Organism: Oreochromis niloticus (Nile tilapia)
Lineage: Eukaryota; Metazoa; Chordata; Actinopteri; Cichliformes; Cichlidae
Exons: 3
Source: RefSeq, a predicted model, not a curated record
GUUCUACUGGUGUUACUGGUUCUGCUGGUGAGACGAUGUGUUCACAGGAAACCUGAAGAGAGUGCUGAAGUCCACUCAGCAAUGACAACAGACGAGGUCACUUAUGGACAAAUCAUCAUCAAAAAGAAACAAGAAAAUAAAGAUUUGAGAGAGAGUGAUCCAGCUGCAGCGGUGAGAACAGAAGCCAUCAGUAAUGGAGAAACAGCCGUCAUACCAAAGAGAAUCAGAGGUACAGCUGUUCUUUAACUUUGUACACAGCAA